RNAcentral lists this ribosomal RNA (420 nucleotides) under bacterium. RNAcentral's name for it is "partial 16S ribosomal RNA". It matches the Rfam family "Bacterial small subunit ribosomal RNA", at positions 355 to 776 of the family's 1533-position model. RNAcentral also lists the same sequence under 2 other names. The record is from RNAcentral.
UGGGGGAUAUUGCACAAUGGGCGAAAGCCUGAUGCAGCGACGCCGCGUGGGGGAUGAAGGCUUUCGGGUUGUAAACCUCUUUCGCUAUCGAACAAGGCCCGCUUAGGGUGGGUUGAGGGUAGGUGGAGAAGAAGCGCCGGCUAACUACGUGCCAGCAGCCGCGGUAAUACGUAGGGCGCGAGCGUUGUCCGGAAUUAUUGGGCGUAAAGGGCUUGUAGGCGACUUGUUGCGCCUGCUGUGAAAACGCGGGGCUUAACUUCGCGCGUGCAGUGGGUACGGGCAGGCUUGAGUGUGGUAGGGGUGACUGGAAUUCCAGGUGUAGCGGUGGAAUGCGCAGAUAUCUGGAGGAACACCGAUGGCGAAGGCAGGUCACUGGGCCAUUACUGACGCUGAGGAGCGAAAGCAUGGGUAGCGAACAGG